UACGUAGGGUGCAAGCGUUGUCCGGAAUUAUUGGGCGUAAAGAGCUCGUAGGCGGUUUGUCGCGUCGGCUGUGAAAACCUGGGGCUCAACCCCGGGCCUGCAGCCGAUACGGGCAAACUAGAAUUCGGUAGGGGAGACUGGAAUUCCUGGUGUAGCGGUGAAAUGCGCAGAUAUCAGGAGGAACACCGGUGGCGAAGGCGGGUCUCUGGGCCGAUAUUGACGCUGAGGAG
Molecule: ribosomal RNA, 230 nt
Filed under: uncultured bacterium
Lineage: Bacteria
Description: partial 16S ribosomal RNA
Rfam family: Bacterial small subunit ribosomal RNA
Source: RNAcentral